UUUGGUGGCGAUAGCGAAGAGGUCACACCCGUUCCCAUUCCGAACACGGCAGUUAAGCUCUUCAGCGCCGAUGGUAGUUGGGGGUUUCCCCGUGAGAGUAGGACGCCGCCAAGC
Molecule: ribosomal RNA, 114 nt
Filed under: Peribacillus frigoritolerans
Lineage: Bacteria; Bacillati; Bacillota; Bacilli; Caryophanales; Bacillaceae
Source: RNAcentral